ACUCCUACGGGAGGCAGCAGCUAAGAAUCUUCCGCAAUGGGGGCAACCCUGACGGAGCGACGCCGCGUGGACGAUGAAGGCCGUAAGGUUGUAAAGUCCUUUUGCAGGUGAAGAAUAAGGUGGGGAGUGGAAAGCCCCGCUGAUGACGUUAGCCUGCGAAUAAGCCCCGGCCAAUUACGUGCCAGCAGCCGCGGUAAUACGUAUGGGGCGAGCGUUGUUCGGAGUUAUUGGGCGUAAAGGGCGUGUAGGCGGCCCGAGAAGUCUGGUGUGAAAUCGCAGGGCUUAACCCUGCGGGUGCGCUGGAAACUGACGGGCUAGAGUUCCGGGGGGGAAGCUGGAAUUCCUGGUGUAGGAGUGAAAUCUGUAGAGAUCAGGAAGAACACCGGUGGCGAAGGCGAGCUUCUAUUCGAGGACUGACGCUGAGGCGCGAAAGCGUGGGGAGCAAACAGGAUUAGAUACCCUGGUAGUCCACGCUGUAAACGAUGUGCACUAGGCGUGGGGCACGUCGGUGCUCUGUGCCGAAGUCAACGCGAUAAGUGCACCGCCUGGGGAGUAUGCUCGCAAGGGUGAAACUCAAAUGAAUUGACGG
Molecule: ribosomal RNA, 589 nt
Filed under: uncultured bacterium
Lineage: Bacteria
Description: bacterial SSU rRNA
Rfam family: Bacterial small subunit ribosomal RNA
Source: RNAcentral